RNAcentral lists this unclassified non-coding RNA (499 nucleotides) under Hevea brasiliensis (rubber tree). The record is from RNAcentral. Lineage: Eukaryota; Viridiplantae; Streptophyta; Magnoliopsida; Malpighiales; Euphorbiaceae.
UGCUGUCAUGCUUGACACCAAGGGUCCUGAGAUUCGUACUGGUUUCUUAACAGAUGGAAAACCGAUUCAGCUUAAGGAAGGUCAAGAAAUCACUGUAUCCACAGACUAUACUAUAAAAGGAAAUGAAGAAAUGAUCUCAAUGAGCUAUAAGAAGUUGGUAGUGGACUUGAAGCCCGGCAAUACCAUCUUGUGUGCAGAUGGUACCAUAACCCUUACUGUUUUGUCAUGUGAUCCACCGUCUGGAACGGUGAGAUGUCGCUGCGAGAAUACUGCCACCUUAGGAGAGAGGAAGAAUGUAAACCUUCCAGGUGUGGUUGUGGACCUUCCAACACUUACAGAGAAGGAUAAAGAAGAUAUACUAGAGUGGGGUGUUCCUAACAACAUUGAUAUGAUAGCGCUUUCGUUUGUGCGUAAGGGUUCAGAUCUUGUCAAUGUUCGCAAGGUUCUUGGUCCACAUGCCAAGCGCAUUCAACUAAUGUCAAAGGUUGAAAACCAAGAA